Molecule: long non-coding RNA, 720 nt
Filed under: Lingula anatina
Lineage: Eukaryota; Metazoa; Brachiopoda; Lingulata; Lingulida; Lingulidae
Description: uncharacterized LOC106166792
Source: RNAcentral
UCUUCCAGCAGCAUUAAAUAGCGCCGUUCACGAAAGGACAACGUUAUUUGCGUUUGGGGACAAGAGGUCUUAAAGGACUCUAGAACACCAGGACGAAAAGCAAAUACAGUAAUGAAGCCUAUAAUUGCGGUAAUGUUGUUGGUUCUUCUUUUUGCAACCUGUGAGGAAGGCCUCGGAGCAAAGUGCUGCCCCGAGGUGAGCGGAUUUGGUACCUGUGUGGAGGACUGCGAUAAUUGCGCUAAGAAUGAAAUGUGCUGCUCAAAUGGAUGUGGUCACGUGUGCAUGAAACCCGUCAAUUGUUAAGGCAUGGGGAGGUGACACGAGUGAAGCCGCUGACACAAAGAAAAAAAAUUAUAACUGCAUCAACUAUGUCCACCAUGACGUCACUUUCGAAAAGAGAAUUAUUAUUCGAACUCGAAAACGCCUUUUGAAACAAUAUUUUCAUUAAAUUGAUAAAGCAGGGACCACACUGGAAAAUUUUAUUAAAAGGGCAAAAUCACGAUCAAAUAACCGGAAGCUUCUAACUGGCUACCCGACAAGAUUCCAUUAUAAGAUUAUGUAAAAUGGCUGAAUGCAACAUCGCUUUCAUCUAAUAUAUAUUAUGCGCUUAAUACUGGUACUUCCAAUAUUUCAGAUUUUCCUUUCUACCUUUGAGAUUGUGCACAAGAGGUAGCAGAGAAAAAAUAAAAUAAAUAUGGGCUAUUUGGUUCAAAAAUAUUA